RNAcentral lists this ribosomal RNA (839 nucleotides) under uncultured bacterium. RNAcentral's name for it is "bacterial SSU rRNA". It matches the Rfam family "Bacterial small subunit ribosomal RNA", at positions 524 to 1381 of the family's 1533-position model. The record is from RNAcentral.
UACGAGGGAUGCAAGCGUUAUCCGGAAUUAUUGGGCGUAAAGCGUUUGUAGGCGGGCGAGUGUGUUUAAUGUUAAAUCUUAAAGCUCAACUUUGAAAUUGCGUUAAAAACUGCUUGUCUUGAGUAUGGUAGGGGUAAAGGGAAUUCCCAGUGUAGCGGUGAAAUGCGUAGAUAUUGGGAAGAACACUAAACAGCGAAGGCACUUUACUAGGCUAAUACUGACGCUGAGAAACGAAAGGUAAGGUAGCGAAACGGAUUAGAUACCCGUGUAGUCUUACCCGUAAACUAUGGACACUAAACGGUAAAUUUUUAAUUUACUGUUAAAGCUAACGCGUUAAGUGUCCCGCCUGGGGAGUAUGCUUGCAAAAGUGAAACUCAAAGGAAUUGACGGGGGCCCGCACAAGCGGUGGAGCAUGUGGUUUAAUUCGACGGUACACGAAGAACCUUACCACGAUUUGACAUGCUAGAUAGUUGCUUGAAAGAGUAACGUGCCGUAAGGAAUCUAGACACAGGUGGUGCAUGGCCGUUGUCAGUUCGCGUUGUGAAAUGUUGGGUUAAGUCCCGCAACGAACGCAACCCUUGUCUUUAGUUAUUUUCUAAAGAGACUGCCUCGUAAUAAACAGGAGGAAGGUAAGGAUGAGGUCAAGUCCUCAUGCCCCUUAUGUCCUGGGCUACACACCUGCUACAAUGGGAAAGACAAUGAGCUGCAAAUCUGUAAAUUUAAGCAAAUCUCCUAAACUUUCUCGUAGUUCGGAUUGUGGGCUGCAACUCUCCCACAUGAAGUUGGAAUCGCUCGUAAUCUCCAGUCAGCUAUAUGGCGGUGAAUUCGCUCCCGGGCCU